CCGAGUUUACAACUUGCAAACCCCUGUGAACAUCCCUAUCGUGGCUUCGGGGGACCGCCCGGGCUCCGCGCCCGGAACCAGGCGAUCGUCGGGGGCCACAAACUCUUGUAUUUUUUGGAAUCUUCUGAGUGAAAAAACAAAUGAAUCAAAACUUUCAACAACGGAUCUCUUGGUUCUGGCAUCGAUGAAGAACGCAGCGAAAUGCGAUAAGUAAUGUGAAUUGCAGAAUUCAGUGAAUCAUCGAAUCUUUGAACGCACAUUGCGCCCGCCAGUAUUCUGGCGGGCAUGCCUGUUCGAGCGUCAUUUCAACCCUCAAGCCCCCGGGCUUGGUGUUGGGGACCGGCCACCGCGGACUCGUCCGCCGGCCGCCCCCUAAAUCCAUUGGCGGUCACGCCGCGGCUUCCUCUGCGUAGUAGCACACCUCGCAGCCGGAUCGCGGCGCGGCCACGCCGUAAAACCCCAACUCUGAAAU
RNAcentral lists this unclassified non-coding RNA (472 nucleotides) under Ascomycota sp. 14Hir-2. RNAcentral's name for it is "partial contains ITS1, 5.8S rRNA and ITS2". The stretch from base 150 to 303 matches the Rfam family "5.8S ribosomal RNA". Lineage: Eukaryota; Fungi; Ascomycota. The record is from RNAcentral.